RNAcentral lists this ribosomal RNA (497 nucleotides) under uncultured bacterium. RNAcentral's name for it is "partial 16S ribosomal RNA". It matches the Rfam family "Bacterial small subunit ribosomal RNA", at positions 28 to 507 of the family's 1533-position model. The record is from RNAcentral.
GAUGAACGCUGGCGGCGUGCCUAAUACAUGCAAGUCGAGCGAACAGACGAGGAGCUUGCUCCUCUGACGUUAGCGGCGGACGGGUGAGUAACACGUGGAUAACCUACCUAUAAGACUGGGAUAACUUCGGGAAACCGGAGCUAAUACCAGAUAAUAUAUUGAACCGCAUGGUUCAAUAGUGAAAGACGGUUUUGCUGUCACUUAUAGAUGGAUCCGCGCCGCAUUAGCUAGUUGGUAAGGUAACGGCUUACCAAGGCAACGAUGCGUAGCCGACCUGAGAGGGUGAUCGGCCACACUGGAACUGAGACACGGUCCAGACCCCUACGGGAGGCAGCAGUAGGGAAUCUUCCGCAAUGGGCGAAAGCCUGACGGAGCAACGCCGCGUGAGUGAUGAAGGUCUUCGGAUCGUAAAACUCUGUUAUUAGGGAAGAACAAAUGUGUAAGUAACUAUGCACGUCUUGACGGUACCUAAUCAGAAAGCCACGGCUAACUACGUG